GACUACGGCCAUGCCACCCUGAAUAUGCCCGAUCCCGUCUGAUCUCGGAAGCUAAGGAGGGUUGGGCCUGGUUAGUACUUGGAUGGGAGACCACCUAGGAAUACCAGGGGCUGUAGACA
RNAcentral lists this ribosomal RNA (119 nucleotides) under Pteropus alecto (black flying fox). The record is from RNAcentral. Lineage: Eukaryota; Metazoa; Chordata; Mammalia; Chiroptera; Pteropodidae.